RNAcentral lists this ribosomal RNA (468 nucleotides) under uncultured bacterium. RNAcentral's name for it is "partial 16S ribosomal RNA". It matches the Rfam family "Bacterial small subunit ribosomal RNA", at positions 28 to 507 of the family's 1533-position model. The record is from RNAcentral.
GACGACCGCUGGCGGCGUGCUUAACACAUGCAAGUCGAACGGAAAGGCCCUGCUUUUGUGGGGUGCUCGAGUGGCGAACGGGUGAGUAACACGUGAGUAACCUGCCCUUGACUUUGGGAUAACUUCAGGAAGCUGGGGCUAAUACCGGAUAGGAGCUCCUGCUGCAUGGUGGGGGUUGGAAAGUUUCGGCGGUUGGGGAUGGACUCGCGGCUUAUCAGCUUGUUGGUGGGGUAGUGGCUUACCAAGGCUUUGACGGGUAGCCGGCCUGAGAGGGUGACCGGCCACAUUGGGACUGAGAUACGGCCCAGACUCCUACGGGAGGCAGCAGUGGGGAAUAUUGCACAAUGGGCGGAAGCCUGAUGCAGCAACGCCGCGUGCGGGAUGACGGCCUUCGGGUUGUAAACCGCUUUCGCCUGUGACGAAGCGUGAGUGACGGUAAUGGGUAAAGAAGCACCGGCUAACUACGUG